Molecule: ribosomal RNA, 608 nt
Filed under: Candida tropicalis
Lineage: Eukaryota; Fungi; Ascomycota; Pichiomycetes; Serinales; Debaryomycetaceae
Description: eukaryotic LSU rRNA
Rfam family: Eukaryotic large subunit ribosomal RNA
Source: RNAcentral
AAAAAGCGGAGGAAAAGAAACCAACAGGGAUUGCCUUAGUAGCGGCGAGUGAAGCGGCAAAAGCUCAAAUUUGAAAUCUGGCUCUUUCAGAGUCCGAGUUGUAAUUUGAAGAAGGUAUCUUUGGGUCUGGCUCUUGUCUAUGUUUCUUGGAACAGAACGUCACAGAGGGUGAGAAUCCCGUGCGAUGAGAUGAUCCAGGCCUAUGUAAAGUUCCUUCGAAGAGUCGAGUUGUUUGGGAAUGCAGCUCUAAGUGGGUGGUAAAUUCCAUCUAAAGCUAAAUAUUGGCGAGAGACCGAUAGCGAACAAGUACAGUGAUGGAAAGAUGAAAAGAACUUUGAAAAGAGAGUGAAAAAGUACGUGAAAUUGUUGAAAGGGAAGGGCUUGAGAUCAGACUUGGUAUUUUGUAUGUUACUUCUUCGGGGGUGGCCUCUACAGUUUAUCGGGCCAGCAUCAGUUUGGGCGGUAGGAGAAUUGCGUUGGAAUGUGGCACGGCUUCGGUUGUGUGUUAUAGCCUUCGUCGAUACUGCCAGCCUAGACUGAGGACUGCGGUUUAUACCUAGGAUGUUGGCAUAAUGAUCUUAAGUCGCCCGUCUUGAAACCACGGGACC